AGAGUUUGAUCCUGGCUCAGGACGAACGCUGGCGGCACGCUUAACACAUGCAAGUCGAACGAGAGAAGAGGAGCUUGCUUUUCUGAUCUAGUGGCGGACGGGUGAGUAACACGUGAGCAAUCUGCCUUUCAGAGGGGGAUACCGAUUGGAAACGAUCGUUAAUACCGCAUAACAUAAUUGAACCGCAUGAUUUGAUUAUCAAAGAUUUAUCGCUGAAAGAUGAGCUCGCGUCUGAUUAGCUAGUUGGUAAGGUAACGGCUUACCAAGGCGACGAUCAGUAGCCGGACUGAGAGGUUGAUCGGCCACAUUGGGACUGAGACACGGCCCAGACUCCUACGGGAGGCAGCAGUGGGGAAUAUUGCACAAUGGAGGAAACUCUGAUGCAGCGAUGCCGCGUGAGGGAAGAAGGUUUUAGGAUUGUAAACCUCUGUCUUCAGGGACGAAAAAAGACGGUACCUGAGGAGGAAGCUCCGGCUAACUACGUGCCAGCAGCCGCGGUAAUACGUAGGGAGCGAGCGUUGUCCGGAAUUACUGGGUGUAAAGGGAGCGUAGGCGGGAUCGCAAGUCAGAUGUGAAAACUAUGGGCUUAACCCAUAAACUGCAUUUGAAACUGUGGUUCUUGAGUGAAGUAGAGGUAAGCGGAAUUCCUAGUGUAGCGGUGAAAUGCGUAGAUAUUAGGAGGAACAUCAGUGGCGAAGGCGGCUUACUGGGCUUUAACUGACGCUGAGGCUCGAAAGCGUGGGGAGCAAACAGGAUUAGAUACCCUGGUAGUCCACGCCGUAAACGAUGAUUACUAGGUGUGGGGGGACUGACCCCUUCCGUGCCGCAGCAAACGCAAUAAGUAAUCCACCUGGGGAGUACGACCGCAAGGUUGAAACUCAAAGGAAUUGACGGGGGCCCGCACAAGCAGUGGAGUAUGUGGAUUAAUUCGAAGCAACGCGAAGAACCUUACCAGGUCUUGACAUCGUAUGCAUAGCUCAGAGAUGAGUGAAAUCUCUUCGGAGACAUAUAGACAGGUGGUGCAUAGUUGUCGUCAGCUCGUGUCGUGAGAUGUUGGGUUAAGUCCCGCAACGAGCGCAACCCUUACUGUUAGUUGCUACGCAAGAGCACUCUAGCAGGACUGCCGUUGACAAAACGGAGGAAGGUGGGGAUGACGUCAAAUCAUCAUGCCCCUUAUGACCUGGGCCUCACACGUACUACAAUGGCUGUCAACAGAGGGAAGCAAAGCCGCGAGGUGGAGCGAACCCCUAAAAGCAGUCUUAGUUCGGAUUGUAGGCUGCAACCCGCCUACAUGAAGUCGGAAUUGCUAGUAAUCGCAGAUCAGCAUGCUGCGGUGAAUACGUUCCCGGGCCUUGUACACACCGCCCGUCACGCCAUGGGAGUCGGUAACACCCGAAGCCUGUAGUCUAACCGCAAGGAGGACGCAGUCGAAGGUGGGAUUGAUGACUGGGGUGAAGUCGUAACAAGGUA
Molecule: ribosomal RNA, 1470 nt
Filed under: metagenome
Description: bacterial SSU rRNA
Rfam family: Bacterial small subunit ribosomal RNA
Source: RNAcentral